UGGGCUGUCGUCUAAUGGUAGGACACCGGGUUUUGGUCCCGGCAGUCGGGGUUCGAGUCCCUGCGGCCCAGCAA
Molecule: transfer RNA, 74 nt
Filed under: Fidelibacterota bacterium
Lineage: Bacteria; Pseudomonadati; Fidelibacterota
Description: tRNA-Gln
Rfam family: tRNA
About the family: Transfer RNA (tRNA) molecules are approximately 80 nucleotides in length. Their secondary structure includes four short double-helical elements and three loops (D, anti-codon, and T loops). Further hydrogen bonds mediate the characteristic L-shaped molecular structure. tRNAs have two regions of fundamental functional importance: the anti-codon, which is responsible for specific mRNA codon recognition, and the 3' end, to which the tRNAs corresponding amino acid is attached (by aminoacyl-tRNA synthetases). tRNAs cope with the degeneracy of the genetic code in two manners: having more than one tRNA (with a specific anti-codon) for a particular amino acid; and 'wobble' base-pairing, i.e. permitting non-standard base-pairing at the 3rd anti-codon position.
Source: RNAcentral